Small nuclear RNA from Oryctolagus cuniculus (rabbit), 148 nucleotides. Its record names the gene U2. It matches the Rfam family "U2 spliceosomal RNA". Rfam says of the family: U2 is a small nuclear RNA (snRNA) component of the spliceosome (involved in pre-mRNA splicing). Complementary binding between U2 snRNA (in an area lying towards the 5' end but 3' to hairpin I) and the branchpoint sequence (BPS) of the intron results the bulging out of an unpaired adenosine, on the BPS, which initiates a nucleophilic attack at the intronic 5' splice site, thus starting the first of two transesterification reactions that mediate splicing. Lineage: Eukaryota; Metazoa; Chordata; Mammalia; Lagomorpha; Leporidae. The record is from Ensembl.
UUCACUUCUCAGCCUUUUGGCUAAGAUCAAGUAUAGUAUCUGAUGAUUUGAUAUGGACUUUUUCCAAACUUACAUCUUAUCCUUCUUAGUACCUAGAACUAGGCUCACUACUAAUGUGUUGUAACAAGUUAAUAUUAGUGUAUUUUUG